AUUGAACGCUGGCGGAAUGCUUUACACAUGCAAGUCGAACGGCAGCACGGACUUCGGUCUGGUGGCGAGUGGCGAACGGGUGAGUAAUGUAUCGGAACGUGCCCAGUCGUGGGGGAUAACGUAGCGAAAGCUACGCUAAUACCGCAUACGAUCUACGGAUGAAAGCGGGGGAUCGCAAGACCUCGCGCGAUUGGAGCGGCAGAUAUCAGAUUAGGUUGUUGGUGAGGUAAAAGCUCACCAAGCCUGCGAUCUGUAGCUGGUCUGAGAGGACGACUAGCCACACUGGAACUGAGACACGGUCCAGACUCCUACGGGAGGCAGCAGUGGGGAAUUUUGGACAAUGGACGCAAGUCUGAUCCAGCAAUGCCGCGUGCAGGACGAAGGCCUUCGGGUUGUGAACUGCUUUUGUACGGAACGAAACGGUGAGCUCUAAUACAGUUUGCUAAUGACGGUACCGUAAGAAUAAGCACCGGCUAACUACGUGCCAGCCGCCGCGGUAA
Molecule: ribosomal RNA, 500 nt
Filed under: uncultured bacterium
Lineage: Bacteria
Description: partial 16S ribosomal RNA
Rfam family: Bacterial small subunit ribosomal RNA
Source: RNAcentral